This 1756-nucleotide long non-coding RNA is filed under the name Equus caballus (horse). RNAcentral's name for it is "lncRNA (ENSECAG00000059946.1)". Lineage: Eukaryota; Metazoa; Chordata; Mammalia; Perissodactyla; Equidae. The record is from RNAcentral.
GCCAAGACUAGUUUAUGGCCAGUAGCCAUAGUCACAAGUGACAAGCUGCUGAGCCUACUCCAAAUGAAACAACCACAGGCCAUCAGAGCGUUCACUGAGUCCACUGGAUUAGCAAAGCAGGACAACGCCUUCUGUACCACCAUCUAUGCCAUCUAGUUAGGAGGCAGAAUCUCAGGACUAAUUGCUUCAUUUCUUCAUUUGGCCUUGAAAAAACAUUUCAUUAUUUGUUGUUGCCUGCUAUGUGGAAGGGACCAAGAAUAUCCUCUAAAACGGAAUCUGUUUUGUUUGGUGCUAUGGAGACCCUAGGGAGGAAAAAAUUUCUUUGAAAGAGGGGCUGUCAUUUCCAACUUAUCUUUACUACUCACCUCAAUGCUCGAGGAUCUCUCCACUCAUUCAUGAAGCGUAAUAAGGAGGACACGAAAGCUGGAGCUGGGGGAUGUCUGGCUAUUUUAUAUAAGAUGGCUGAGGAAGGCAGCAAAGGUAUUCAAGCCAAGACCUGAGGGACACGAGCAAGCAAGCCACACAGACGUGUGCAAGAAAGGGGAUUGCAGCAAACGUGAAGAGGAAGCUGCAGCGUGGUUUGUAAAUCAUGAAAGAUCAAGGAAGCUGUGAGGACACAAUGAGAAGAUGGCCAUCUGCAAGCCAGGAAGAGAGCCCUCCCUGAGGAACUGAACGGGCCAGCACCUUGGGCUUGGACUUCCAGUCUCCUGAACUGUUCCCUAAAGAGAUGCAUAAAUCUUGUGAGACGAGACACUGCAUGAAAAAUCUCUCUUCCAGAUAAUGGUUAUGGUGGUUUUAAAACAUGACUUCAAAUUCUUUGGGACUCCUCCCAUCAAAAGUGGGGUGCUUGUGAAGAUAUUUCCAAGGACGUAGUUCCCUGGAAGGAAGAAGUUCUGCGCUCCAGUGGGACCUCAUCAGAUACCCCUCCAUCUCUCCAUCUCCGGCUCUCCAGGAUAUUCUUCACAGCCUCCUCCUGCUGUUGUCCCUCUGUCUCUCUACAUCUUGGGAUAAUGGAAAGAUGGCUUCAGAUCAGGCCUCCAUUGUGCAACUGGCCCAUCCAGAAACUCAAGAAACUUCCCUGUGCCCAAAGUGGAGAGAACUCUGAGGCUCUGGGGAGGCAGAAACACAAAAUGGAAGGAAACUGAACUACUGGAUGUCAUCUGGAAGGCCCACCCUCUGACCAGGAACACCAGCAUUAGACACUCAUGUGCAAUCAGAGGUUGGCUGGGCUGAAGUCAUCUGAAGGCUUGACUGGGCAGGACAUGGAAGAUGGUUCACUCAGAUGGCUGGCAGUUGGAGCAGGCUGUCUGCUGGGCUCAGCUGGAGCCAAUGACUGGCAAACUGACAUAUGUUCCCCAGCCUGGUCAUCUCAGAGUUGUCAGCUUUCUUACAGGGUGCCUAACUUCCAGCUUCCCCACAAUGUCAAUGCCAACAAAGGAGGCUGAGAAGCAGAGGCAAGGACUGGGAGCAAGGAUCCAGAGCGUGUUAUUGCAUGGAAGACCAGAGAAAGAAGUCAUCAAUGGUGCAAUGGUGCUGAGAUGUUAGGUUCAAGAAGACCAGAGGAGUGACGGGUGGAUUUGGCAACCUAGAGUCAUGGUUGGCCUCGACAAGAGUGGCCUCUAUGGAAUGUGGGGUGACUAUGAAGAAGCCAGAAUUAAAAUAGCUUGCAAGGGAGUGACUUUAAUAAUUCACCAAAGUGAACAAUUUAUUGUGGACUGGAGAUUUUGCUGAGAGGUCAACGAGCAGCUGAUGUGGA